This 213-nucleotide ribosomal RNA is filed under the name bacterium. RNAcentral describes it as "partial 16S ribosomal RNA". It matches the Rfam family "Bacterial small subunit ribosomal RNA", at positions 581 to 793 of the family's 1533-position model. The record is from RNAcentral.
GUGUAAGUCAGUGGUGAAAUCUCACAGCUCAACUGUGAAACUGCCAUUGAUACUGCAUGUCUUGAGUAAGGUAGAAGUGGCUGGAAUAAGUAGUGUAGCGGUGAAAUGCAUAGAUAUUACUUAGAACACCAAUUGCGAAGGCAGGUCACUAUGUCUUAACUGACGCUGAUGGACGAAAGCGUGGGGAGCGAACAGGAUUAGAAACCCCGGUAG